AUGAACUAAAAUAAUAAUGACAAAAUUCAACCUACAACUUUUGACACUUAACUGUAACAAGGAAACUAAGCAAAGAAAUGAUUAAUAUUUGACCCCAAAAAUACAAACAUUAGGGAAAGAAGAAAAUAUGACUAUGUCUAGAUAAUUACCAAACAUUGCCUUGUCAUUAAUCAACCCAACAUGUUUGCAAACACAAAGG
This 199-nucleotide long non-coding RNA is filed under the name Solanum tuberosum (potato). Its description in RNAcentral is "long non-coding RNA (STUB_LNC000120)". The record is from RNAcentral. Lineage: Eukaryota; Viridiplantae; Streptophyta; Magnoliopsida; Solanales; Solanaceae.